GAUGCCCACACCUGCUGGUCUCACCGCUAGGGCCUGGGCAUCACAGGCAGGGGGAAUGGGGAGGGGACGGUAGCGUCAGCCUACACCCACACGCAGUUUCCUGAUAAAAGGUCCUUUGGAAACUUUGAUUCUCUUCUCACCAAGUUGAACGGAGAUGUGUUCCCAUAGUAAGAGUGAGGCCCCUGCAUUUGCUGCCCUCGGUUUUCCCAACUAACACCAGGGCCUCCCCCCUGUACCCCAUUCAUAUGCCUCAGAAGCUGACAAUGACUGUUGGGCUUUUCCAAUGAAUACCAGAACACCAUUUCCUGCAGCCUGAAAAGAAGACAGUAUAAUUGUUUGGCAGCAAGAGAAUCCAGGUGCCCUUCCAUGAGAAGCCCAAGCCAUGUGGAGAAGCCACGUCUAGGGACUCCAGUUAACACUCUCAGCUGAGUCCCCAGCUGACAGUCAGCAUCAACUGCCAGCCACCUCUGUCUAAAAGUGGGCUAUCUUGGGCAUCCAGCCCAGUCAAGCCUUCAGAUGAGUCCAGUCCCAGCCACUAUCUCACACAACCACACGAGAGACAUCAAGAACUCCCAGUGGAGUCCAGUCAGCCCAUGGAACUGCAAGAGGUAAUAAAUUAUUGUUUUACAGUACUAAAAAAAGUUUUAAAGAAA
RNAcentral lists this long non-coding RNA (653 nucleotides) under Homo sapiens (human). Its description in RNAcentral is "novel transcript". The record is from RNAcentral. Lineage: Eukaryota; Metazoa; Chordata; Mammalia; Primates; Hominidae.